GGAGGGUCUGUGUCUCAGAGGGAGAUCAUCUGUUUGGCAUUCCAAAGGUCCCAGGUUCAAUCCCUGGCGUCUCCA
This 75-nucleotide transfer RNA is filed under the name Sphaerodactylus townsendi. RNAcentral's name for it is "tRNA-Ala". The record is from RNAcentral. Lineage: Eukaryota; Metazoa; Chordata; Lepidosauria; Squamata; Sphaerodactylidae.